CUACAAGAUAAAGGUCUGAAAUCCUGAGCCUGAAAGUUGAGGUCCUUAAUCACCUGGCAUAACCAUUCCUCUACAUAAAUCUUUCUUUCCAGCUCCCUCCCUGAGCCACCUGAAGCACACCAGGUGUGGGCCUGCUUCAUGCCUUUGCUCAUCCUGCAGACGUGACUUACAUGCUUCCUGCUGGGGCGAGCACCAGAGACUGGCUGAAAUUAGAAACAAGUGAGGCAAGGAUGUAGCCACAGGUUCAUUUGGAUGGCUCUGAAACUGUGAACUUUUACAUCUCAGUGAAAAUUUUCUCAUCAAGCAUCUCACACCAACAAGGGAUGAAAACAGCCUGGGGAAGCUGAGGAAUUUUUUUAAACAAAGGGGAAUAUUCAUCUUCUGACCUGAACAGAAUGAUAUUAUACAGCAAAAGAAGACCCUUGAAUCCAUGAUACUUUCUUGAAAGUCAGAAGCCAGAAGGCAAAGAAGCUACGGAGGUGAGGCCCACAGGACAGCAGUGAGCAGGAAGGAGGAGAGAUAAGAAUGGGUCAGGAAGGGCCAAAGGAACACAUCUACACACUCCCUUGUGACAGAAAUCUUUUUCGGUGAUACAUACUUUUGUUUGAAGAGCAAAUAAAGUGAGCGAUAACGUCACCAGAGCAGUCGCUGCUGUUGCCCACAGCACUUCCUCUGCAUUACAGAAACUAAAACCAGAGACUGUGAUUAUUGUUCACAUACAUACAAAGAAAAGCACACGCGAGAAAGGAAAUAUGUAU
Molecule: long non-coding RNA, 758 nt
Organism: Prionailurus viverrinus (fishing cat)
Lineage: Eukaryota; Metazoa; Chordata; Mammalia; Carnivora; Felidae
Exons: 3
Source: RefSeq, a predicted model, not a curated record